Rattus norvegicus (Norway rat) is the source of this 1174-nucleotide non-coding RNA. The record is from RefSeq and is a predicted model, not a curated record. Lineage: Eukaryota; Metazoa; Chordata; Mammalia; Rodentia; Muridae.
GGUUUUUAUUCAUUAUUACAGGAUGUUAGUUAUAAGUUAACAGGUUUCUAAGAGAUUUUUAUUUACUAUCAUGAGAUGUUACUUUAACAGCUUUUAAGAGAUUUUUAUUUAUUAUCACAAGGUGUUAGUUUAGACAGAGUGGGGCAAGGAAUGGCAAUUUCAGAAGGCUAACACUACCUCGAGAUACAGUACUAGCGUCUGACCCUAAGCAACCCCACGCUCUCGUCUCCACAGUACUGAGAUUCCAUUCAGACCAUUAGGUUCUGCAGACAUAAACUCUUUCCAGAAAAAAAAUUGUUGUUGUUAACAACCAGACACAGUUACGUUUUAGGAAUUUUAAUUCACAAAUAGCUCAUGUCAAAUAUCAUGACUAGUGGUUUUCUUAAGCACAGAGGGUGAAGCUCAGCAGGAAAAACACGGAAAAGAAGAUGAAAGAGAAGGAAGGGUACCUUUCAUUCUGGAGAAGUCACAAUAUCCCUUGUAAUCUCGAGGAGGCUUUAGCACCUCACCAGCAAGCCCUUCCCAUGAGUCCACCUCCAGGCAUGCCUUCCAAGCAGCUGAUAGAAACAGUGCAUUUCUACUAAAUAUGUUCCAGGUGUUGGUCUGGUGUUUGCUACCGAUGAGAUUAUUGACAUAUCAGUUCAUCAGUUCUAUUGAGCCUUUUUUUAAAGAUACAUAAAUGUUAUUGAAAGGGGUUGCAUAUCUCUUCCUGUCUUGACUUCCCACAUAAUCAGUGAAUUAAAAGCACCUCCUCCUCAAAUGGCUUUUGGUGGUGGUUUAAUCCCAGCAACAGGAAUGCAGCUUGGAUAUCUGAAGCCUGCCAUUCUUUGAUGAAGAUCUACAAUGAAAAGAAGCAAGCUGAGCAAGGCAAAAUACAGAAUGUAAAGGGGCACCAGGAAGGAGAAUGGAGCUAAGUCCUGUAUUCAAAGAGGUAGCAUAUCAAGUCUGAGUUGAGAAAUUCCCUUACAGAAGAAGCAAUGACCUGGCUGCAGUCACCUGAGUCAUGAGGUUCUGGAGAAGAGAACAGCAUUUACUCAAUGGACUGAAGAGAAAGGGGAUUUCCUUCAUGCCUAACUCUUGAAUCAGCUAGUGUUUGCUUAAGAUGAUGUAUGAGACAUGCACAAUUGUGUAGGCAAAAAGAAAACAGAAAUCAAACAAUAAAAUUUUCAAACAA